This 76-nucleotide transfer RNA is filed under the name Nitrospinota bacterium. Its description in RNAcentral is "Nitrospinae bacterium tRNA-Phe". It matches the Rfam family "tRNA". From Rfam's summary of the family: Transfer RNA (tRNA) molecules are approximately 80 nucleotides in length. Their secondary structure includes four short double-helical elements and three loops (D, anti-codon, and T loops). Lineage: Bacteria; Pseudomonadati; Nitrospinota. The record is from RNAcentral.
GCCGAGGUAGCUCAGGCGGUAGAGCGAAGGACUGAAAAUCCUUGCGUCCCCAGUUCGACUCUGGGCCUCGGCACCA